Cucumis sativus (cucumber) is the source of this 1144-nucleotide long non-coding RNA. RefSeq lists it as uncharacterized. The record is from RefSeq and is a predicted model, not a curated record. NCBI's taxonomy places the organism in Eukaryota, Viridiplantae, Streptophyta, Magnoliopsida, Cucurbitales, Cucurbitaceae. The transcript has 2 exons.
UCAACCUCCAUAAAAUCCCAUCUUUCCCCUUCUCAUUUCUCUCACUCCCACACAUCUCAACAACAAAAGCACAACAAAAAAACCACUUCCUUUCUCCAUUAUCUCUCUCAAAAUCCCUUCCUCCCAAACUUUCCCAUAUCCUUCCUCCUCCUCAAAAGGUCGCAUGCAUGGACCAACGAGGAGGCAACUGCCAUGGCGGCCGGCGUUUCCGGUGGGGUUUUCCCAUUGGCAUCUCCUUUUAGGAGAUAUAGUCACUGAUUCUUACUAGCCAUGGCACUAUCCUAACUGAGCUUUUUAUACGUUUCGUUUUUCUUUUUUUCUUAUUUUUUUCUUGUUUCCGUUUCUUUUUUUAAGCUUUUGAAAUGGAGUCUUCUUGACCUUGUAAGACCUUUUCUUGACCUUGUAAGACCAACACCAUAACCUUUCCCUUUACCAUCCAUUUGAUUUCAUACUCUAUUUUGGGUAAUACCCAUAUGGAGUUUGAGUAGAAUCUAUCCCUAUUUCCACCCAACUCAUCUUCUCCUUCCUUGUCUAUCCCUUUGAGCUGCAUUUUAGUUUUAUCAAAUUAAAUUAAUUAAUUAAUUAAUAAUAAAUAAAUAAAUUUAAUCAAACCCCACCAAGCCAGCCGGUGUAGAAGAUCAAGAAGAGCAAGCAAACAGGAGGACGAUUGAGUUGAAGAAGAAGAAGAAGAAGGAGAAAGAUUACUUCUGCUCUUUUGGCUGUGAGGAUCGGAGUACUACUUGUGUGGAGUUUUUCGUUUGUUUUUUAAAUACAUUUUUUUUCUGUAAUAAUAAUAAUAAAUAAAUAAAUAAAAGAAUUGUUUGUAAAAUAGAAAUGAUUGUGUUGAGAAAGAAGGAAUAUAUGAAAUAGAAAAGUGAAUGAAAAUUGGUGUAUUUGUGAGGGGUGGAGGAAGCAGGAGAUGAAGUAAUUUGUUUGGGUUUUUGUUUUACGUGUUGUUUUUGUUGUUGUUAAUGUUGAGGAGAGAGAGAGAGAGAGAGAGAGAGAGAGAAGGAAUAAUAAAUAUUCUCUGGAGAAUAAGCUAAGUAAUUAGAAUAGUGGAGUCCACCACCACUCGUGACUGCUCAAUGCUCAUCACUUUGUACCUUUUGUGUGUUUAUAUAUAAUUAUAUUCCAAUUUACUCCA